Microcebus murinus (gray mouse lemur) is the source of this 1551-nucleotide non-coding RNA. Lineage: Eukaryota; Metazoa; Chordata; Mammalia; Primates; Cheirogaleidae. The record is from RefSeq and is a predicted model, not a curated record.
AAUGGAAAUUAUGAAGUAGAAGUAUAUUAAAUGUUAUUAAAUAUAUUAGUGAAUGGUUUUUAGAGAUUGUAUCUGCAUUAGAAUAUCUGAUCAUAAUGCUGUAUAAAAACAUAGUGCCAAGUCUACGGCCUUACUUUGGGCAAGUACCAUGGCAUCCUACGAGCAGGUCCAAAAGGGACCCCUGAAGCUGAAAGGCGUCGCAGAGCUCGGCGUGACCAAGUGGAGGAAGAAAAAGAAGGACAAAGACAAGGCGAAACUCCUGGAAGCGAUGGGGACGAGCAAAAAGAACGAAGAGGAGAAGUGGCGCGGCCUGGACAAGCGGACUCCGGCCCAUGUGGCUUUCAAGAAGAUUCAGGAGAAGCGGCAAAUGAAAAGAAUCCUGAAGAAAGUAUCCAAAACCCACAAGCAGAGAGUGGAGGACUUCAACAGACACCUGAAUACACUCACAGAGCAUUUGGACAGCCCCAAAGUCAGCUGGACGAAGUAGCCUCCGGGCCCUGGGUACAGAGCAGCAUCGAGGCUAAGCAGAAGGCCAGGUCAGGGUUGUGUUUGGUACCACUGGUAUUUUUUAGAAACAUUGCUUUACACACAGCCUCGCAUCUUCUGUGACAGUGCUUUUUUGAAGCUGUGUAACCCCAUCCUGGAACUUGAUUAAAGACAGACUGUCCUUUUACCAGUUGGCAGUGGUGCUCUUCCUGUUCCAUGUGUCUUCUUCAUCCCAGGACCCAGGCUGACGAGCAGCCCCCAUCUGGGAAGUGUCAUACUCCUGGCAGAGAGAAGAGCCAAAGCAGGAUCCUAGGGUAGCUCUUAAAGCUUCUGUUCAGAUAUGGCCUGUGUUGUGUCUGCUCAUGUUUCAUUGGCCAGAGAAAGUCACAUGUCCAAGAAGCAGUGGCAGCCUCUGAAUAUACUAUCCUACCUGGUGGGAACUGCAAGUCACAUGGCAAGGGCAGGGCUGUAUGAUUCUGUACAGGAAAGGUAGAAAAUAAUUAGGUACAAGAGUACAAUCUGCUGGCCUAUGAUUAUUUUAAUAUUCAUUUAAAGGUAUAUAUCGUUAAUUUCAAUUAAAAUAAGCAACAAUUUAGAGGAAAGCAUUUACUAUCAAAUGAGAGCUUAAUGACUUCCAGGGUCCUCACAGCUUUAAUAUUCUGCAAUUUGUAUUUAGAAUACCUGGAAGAUGAUACCAUCUCAUGUAAUUAAUUGGGGCUCCUUUGCUAAAAGUUUCUUGGGGUUUUUUUUUGUACAAAGAAGUAAACAGGGAUUUCUCUCAACAGCUUCCGUUUUGGUGUGCUGUAUUAACAGUGUAAAAGAGCUGCCCUUCUGAGGAAGAAGGCCAGAGUAGCCCAACCACGGACACCACCAAGUUGGAGGACUUGGGGAGUAUUGAGAGACAGGGUCACAGGGGGACAUUGACACAUAAAAGUGGCUCCCAAUGUUAGAAGCCACUUGAGGUCCAAGUGGGUCCUUGGCUUUGGACAAAAAAGAAUUUAGGAGUGAGCUGACAGUAUAACAUAAAAACGAAUUUUGUUUAGAAAAUAUAGAAAAUCUACAGAC